This 71-nucleotide transfer RNA is filed under the name Aphanomyces astaci. RNAcentral describes it as "tRNA H257_16776". The stretch from base 4 to 65 matches the Rfam family "tRNA", at positions 6 to 65 of the family's 71-position model. From Rfam's summary of the family: Transfer RNA (tRNA) molecules are approximately 80 nucleotides in length. Their secondary structure includes four short double-helical elements and three loops (D, anti-codon, and T loops). The record is from RNAcentral. Lineage: Eukaryota; Oomycota; Saprolegniomycetes; Saprolegniales; Verrucalvaceae.
UACAGUAGUCUAGGCGGUUAGGAUAUAUGGCUUUCACCCAUACGACCCGGGUUCGAGUCCCGGUUAGGGAA